Molecule: ribosomal RNA, 730 nt
Filed under: uncultured bacterium
Lineage: Bacteria
Description: bacterial SSU rRNA
Rfam family: Bacterial small subunit ribosomal RNA
Source: RNAcentral
AACAGGAUUAGAUACCCUGGUAGUCCACGCCGUAAACGAUGUCGACUUGGAGGUUGUGCCCUUGAGGCGUGGCUUCCGGAGCUAACGCGUUAAGUCGACCGCCUGGGGAGUACGGCCGCAAGGUUAAAACUCAAAUGAAUUGACGGGGGCCCGCACAAGCGGUGGAGCAUGUGGUUUAAUUCGAUGCAACGCGAAGAACCUUACCUACUCUUGACAUCCAGAGAACUUAGCAGAGAUGCUUUGGUGCCUUCGGGAACUCUGAGACAGGUGCUGCAUGGCUGUCGUCAGCUCGUGUUGUGAAAUGUUGGGUUAAGUCCCGCAACGAGCGCAACCCUCAUCCUUUGUUGCCAGCGGUUCGGCCGGGAACUCAAAGGAGACUGCCAGUGAUAAACUGGAGGAAGGUGGGGAUGACGUCAAGUCAUCAUGGCCCUUACGAGUAGGGCUACACACGUGCUACAAUGGCAUAUACAAAGAGAAGCGACCUCGCGAGAGCAAGCGGACCUCAUAAAGUAUGUCGUAGUCCGGAUUGGAGUCUGCAACUCGACUCCAUGAAGUCGGAAUCGCUAGUAAUCGUGGAUCAGAAUGCCACGGUGAAUACGUUCCCGGGCCUUGUACACACCGCCCGUCACACCAUGGGAGUGGGUUGCAAAAGAAGUAGGUAGCUUAACCUUCGGGAGGGCGCUUACCACUUUGUGAUUCAUGACUGGGGUGAAGUCGUAACAAGGUAACC